GCUUACGGCCAUACCACCUGAACACGCCCGAUCUCGUCCAUCUCGGAAGCUAAGCAGGGUCGGGCCUGGUUAGUACUUGGAUGGGAGACCGCCUGGGAAUACCAGGUGCUGUAAGCU
RNAcentral lists this ribosomal RNA (117 nucleotides) under Labrus bergylta (ballan wrasse). Lineage: Eukaryota; Metazoa; Chordata; Actinopteri; Labriformes; Labridae. The record is from RNAcentral.